GCUCUCUGGAAGAGGUGGGGUUUAAAGCACUGAUCCCUGAUGUGAUCUUCUUUAACUCCAUGUCUGUUAGAGAGAGCAUAAGAACACACACAAUGAUUCUCCAUUCUGUCAUUCUGCUUUCUGCCUUUGCAUAUGCAGCGUAUGGAAAUGAAAUCAAACCAAACAAAACAGAGGAGUUUGCUGAAGAGGGUUCAAGUGUUAAAUUAUCCUGCAGUUAUUCAUCUGCAUAUUAUCUUCACUGGUAUCGUCAGUAUCCCGGAUCAGCUCCUGAGUUCAUUGUGCUCAUCUCAGACAAUGCAAAAGAAGCUAAGGAGUCUUAUGUAGAUUCCAGAUUCAUGACCAAAGUUAGUAAAGGCAAAGAAAACCAUGUGGAUCUGGAGAUCUCCUCUGCAUCUAUAUCAGACUCUGCUCUGUACUACUGCGCUCUGACGCCCACAGUGACAGGAAAAGAAAGAUGUGUGAGUUUUGGAGAUGAAAUCACACCAGACAGCACUGAGGAAUCUGCAGCAGUGGGUUCAACUGUUACUUUAUCCUGCAGUUAUUCCUCUGCAGAAUCACUUCAAUAA
This is a non-coding RNA of Cyprinus carpio (common carp), 566 nucleotides long. The record is from the annotation of a RefSeq genome assembly. NCBI's taxonomy places the organism in Eukaryota, Metazoa, Chordata, Actinopteri, Cypriniformes, Cyprinidae.